This 692-nucleotide long non-coding RNA is filed under the name Bos taurus (domestic cattle). RNAcentral describes it as "long non-coding RNA NONBTAT019455". Lineage: Eukaryota; Metazoa; Chordata; Mammalia; Artiodactyla; Bovidae. The record is from RNAcentral.
AAGAAGCUGGACAUAGCUAGUAUAGAACUACUCUGAAUAUAUGUGGUAUUUUAUAAUAAUGAAGCAAGAAUGCUAUUUUACAUAAUUAUGGUUAGUGGAAUACCAGUGUGGUAGAUUAAGAGGACAAGACCAUUGGAAUAAAAAGGUAAAGAUAUUUUAAAGGACUUGCACUUGAAGAAGUAUAAAGGAUAACUGAAUCAUAAAGACAUAAGUGAUAAAGCCAGUGUUAGAGGAAGCUGUGGCAUGAUGACUUUCUUCCUACUCUGAUUUUUCAGAAUACUUUACAUUCUGAAUUGAAGAUCGAAAAUCUGCUCCACGUAAAACAUAAUAGAAAUUUAUCAAAGGCAUGUAUUCUCCAAAAUUGUUGUUUAAAAUAUGGAAACAAGAACCUCAAACUGCUUAAAGCAAUUACUCUGUAAAGUAUAUCACAGAAAAGAUAUUCUAGUAUUUUUCAAGAUAUAGCAAUAGAUUUCCUCUUUAUAUUCAUUUAGGUACAUUUUUGAAAGCAUUUGUCAUUCUUUUAUCUUUCAACAAGCAUGGUUCUGUUUCUGGCCCUAAUGAUGUGGUGGGUUAAAAGUGAUGUUUUAUUAAAAAAAAAAAAGUUGGUUAUGAGGUGAAAACUGGAAAUUAAGAGGUUUUUGAAGUUGUCAUUUGAUAUUACAUGCAGCUCAGUUUUGAUUCAUAUAUAUUUC